Molecule: non-coding RNA, 31 nt
Filed under: Homo sapiens (human)
Lineage: Eukaryota; Metazoa; Chordata; Mammalia; Primates; Hominidae
Source: RNAcentral
CUGGGAAUGAGCAGCUCAGGUGGGCAGCAGC